ACGCGGCGUGUGCCUAAUACAUGCAAGUCGAACGCGUUGGCCCAAUUGAUUGAUGGUGCUUGCACCUGAUUGAUUUUGGUCGCCAACGAGUGGCGGACGGGUGAGUAACACGUAGGUAACCUGCCCAGAAGCGGGGGACAACAUUUGGAAACAGAUGCUAAUACCGCAUAACAGCGUUGUUCGCAUGAACAACGCUUAAAAGAUGGCUUCUCGCUAUCACUUCUGGAUGGACCUGCGGUGCAUUAGCUUGUUGGUGGGGUAACGGCCUACCAAGGCGAUGAUGCAUAGCCGAGUUGAGAGACUGAUCGGCCACAAUGGGACUGAGACACGGCCCAUACUCCUACGGGAGGCAGCAGUAGGGAAUCUUCCACAAUGGGCGCAAGCCUGAUGGAGCAACACCGCGUGAGUGAAGAAGGGUUUCGGCUCGUAAAGCUCUGUUGUUAAAGAAGAACACGUAUGAGAGUAACUGUUCAUACGUUGACGGUAUUUAACCAGAAAGUCACGGCUAACUACGUGCCAGCAGCCGCGGUAUAAA
Molecule: ribosomal RNA, 535 nt
Filed under: Limosilactobacillus fermentum
Lineage: Bacteria; Bacillati; Bacillota; Bacilli; Lactobacillales; Lactobacillaceae
Description: bacterial SSU rRNA
Rfam family: Bacterial small subunit ribosomal RNA
Source: RNAcentral